CCGCCGCCCCGUCUGGGAUGUGAGGAGCGCCUUGGCCCGGCCGUGACCCCGUCUGGGAGGUUUCCCGUGCAUAGGAGAUCCAAGACAGCAGAAGGCAGGAGCUGGCGGGACAGGGAGGAAGAGCGGCUCUGCCGUUUACUAUCUGUGUGACGCUGAGCAAAUUACACACGGUCUCUCUGACUCAGCUCCUUCCUGUCACAAAUGGGGAUAUUUAUAGUAUUUCUCACUACGUAGGUCCUUAUGCGCAUUAAAUGAGCUACUACACGGCAUUCGGCAUAGCGCCAGGCACACACUCAAUGUUCAAUACAUGUAGGCGGUUAGCCCA
Molecule: long non-coding RNA, 325 nt
Filed under: Homo sapiens (human)
Lineage: Eukaryota; Metazoa; Chordata; Mammalia; Primates; Hominidae
Description: HSALNT0238991
Source: RNAcentral